GCGCAGGACAAAACGGAUUCGCGCACGGGUUCCGCGCGAGUGCGGCGCGUCAUUUUGAUGACGUUGUUAUCGCGGGGAUUCCCGUCACUGUCGUUUCGAUGUCGUUUCGCGGCGAUAAUAAUUGUCCACGCGUCAUACGCAUCGAAAGGCCUUUGUCACGGUGUGUCCGUGAGCAUUUUUUACGGGACGGCACGCAACGGAAAUUCGCACAAAAAAACCGCACCGUCACGGUGGUUAUGCGUUCGAUAAAAAUUAGGUGG
Non-coding RNA from Cinara cedri, 260 nucleotides. The record is from the annotation of a GenBank genome assembly. Lineage: Eukaryota; Metazoa; Arthropoda; Insecta; Hemiptera; Aphididae.